CACGUAGGCGGACUGGUCAGUUGGGGGUGAAAUCCCAGGGCUCAACCCUGGAACUGCCUCCAAUACUGCCAGUCUUGAGUCCGAGAGAGGUGAGUGGAAUUCCUAGUGUAGAGGUGAAAUUCGUAGAUAUUAGGAAGAACACCAGUGGCGAAGGCGGCUCACUGGCUCGGUACUGACGCUGAGGUGUGAAAGCGUGGGGAGCAAACA
Molecule: ribosomal RNA, 207 nt
Filed under: uncultured bacterium
Lineage: Bacteria
Description: partial 16S ribosomal RNA
Rfam family: Bacterial small subunit ribosomal RNA
Source: RNAcentral